Molecule: ribosomal RNA, 254 nt
Filed under: uncultured bacterium
Lineage: Bacteria
Description: partial 16S ribosomal RNA
Rfam family: Bacterial small subunit ribosomal RNA
Source: RNAcentral
UACGAACUGCGCGAACGUUAUUCGGAAUCACUGGGCUUACAGGGUGCGUAGGCGGCGGAGAAAGUAGGGUGUGAAAUGCCUUGGCUCAACCAAGGCACAGCGCUCUAAACUACUUCGCUCGAGUGAGUCAGGGGUGCACGGAACUUCCGGUGGAGCGGUGAAAUGUGUUGAUAUCGGAAGGAACACCGGUGGCGAAAGCGGUGCACUGGGGCUCAACUGACGCGUGAGGAGCGAAAGCGUGGGGAGCGAACAGG